RNAcentral lists this long non-coding RNA (540 nucleotides) under Astyanax mexicanus (Mexican tetra). Its description in RNAcentral is "lncRNA (ENSAMXG00005021570.1)". The record is from RNAcentral. Lineage: Eukaryota; Metazoa; Chordata; Actinopteri; Characiformes; Acestrorhamphidae.
GAAAUAGAAAAUAGACAAAGGUCUUAGCUAGAUUACAGUGUGCCUUCCAGACUCAGUAGAUACCACACCCUGUGUUAGGAUCAGUUUCACGAGAGACCAUCUACCUGCACAGCAGCAUUUUGUACUGAUGUUCAACAUUUUACAACAGCUUUUACAGGUGACACUAUCUGCAAAUGAAUAAUAAAGGUAUUUGUUUAGAGUUUCCAAAAUUGUAACAAUGUUAUAAUUUUACACUGUUUAGAUGUUUCCAUAUGUCAAUUUCUUUCUCUCUAGGAGUUAAAAGAAAACUUAGAGAUGACAACGUCUCUACUUCCCAUUGGGCGUUGCAAAAGCAAAAAAGGCCAACAACAGCAGAGAUGAAGAUUAGACGAGCUAAAGACAUUAUGACAAAAGUUCAGUCUGAUCUCAGUCAAUAUGAACAUCGGUAUAAAGGCAGCUCCCGACCCAACAAGAAGCUCACUGAAUAUAUCAGGUAUGUUUACAUUAAUAAUAGCAACAUAAUAAUAGCAAACUAAUAGAACAAAUUGGAUAUAAUAUAGU